GCGCCGGCUAAAUUACGUGCCAGCAGCCGCGGUAAUACGUAGGGCGCAAGCGUAUCCGGAAUUAUUGGGCGUAAAGAGCUCGUAGGCGGUUUGUCGCGUCUGCCGUGAAAGUCCGGGGCUCAACUCCGGAUUGCGGUGGGUACGGGCAGACUAGAGUGAUGUAGGGGAGACUGGAAUUCCUGGUGUAGCGGUGAAAUGCGCAGAUAUCAGGAGGAACACCGAUGGCGAAGGCAGGUCUCUGGGCAUUAACUGACGCUGAGGAGCGAAAGCAUGGGGAGCGAACAGGAUUAGAUACCCUGGUAGUCCAUGCCGUAAACGUUGGGCACUAGGUGUGGGGGACAUUCCACGUUUUCCGCGCCGUAGCUAACGCAUUAAGUGCCCCGCCUGGGGAGUACGGCCGCAAGGCUAAAACUCAAAGGAAUUGACGGGGGCCCGCACAAGCGGCGGAGCAUGCGGAUUAAUUCGAUGCAACGCGAAGAACCUUACCAAGGCUUGACAUGAACCGGAAACGUCUGGAAACAGGCGCCCCACUUGUGGUCGGUUUACAGGUGGUGCAUGGUUGUCGUCAGCUCGUGUCGUGAGAUGUUGGGUUAAGUCCCGCAACGAGCGCAACCCUCGUUCCAUGUUGCCAGCGCGUAAUGGCGGGGACUCAUGGGAGACUGCCGGGGUCAACUCGGAGGAAGGU
RNAcentral lists this ribosomal RNA (685 nucleotides) under Pseudarthrobacter equi. RNAcentral's name for it is "bacterial SSU rRNA". It matches the Rfam family "Bacterial small subunit ribosomal RNA", at positions 490 to 1174 of the family's 1533-position model. The record is from RNAcentral. Lineage: Bacteria; Bacillati; Actinomycetota; Actinomycetes; Micrococcales; Micrococcaceae.